This 468-nucleotide ribosomal RNA is filed under the name uncultured bacterium. RNAcentral's name for it is "partial 16S ribosomal RNA". It matches the Rfam family "Bacterial small subunit ribosomal RNA", at positions 28 to 507 of the family's 1533-position model. The record is from RNAcentral.
GACGAACGCUGGCGGCGUGCUUAACACAUGCAAGUCGAACGGAAAGGCCCUGCUUUUGUGGGGUGCUCGAGUGGCGAACGGGUGAGUAACACGUGAGUAACCUGCCCUUGACUUUGGGAUAACUUCAGGAAACUGGGGCUAAUACCGGAUAGGAGCUCCUGCUGCAUGGUGGGGGUUGGAAAGUUUCGGCGGUUGGGGUUGGACUCGCGGCUUAUCAGCUUGUUGGUGGGGUAGUGGCUUACCAAGGCUUUGACGGGUAGCCGGCCUGAGAGGGUGACCGGCCACAUUGGGACUGAGAUACGGCCCAGACUCCUACGGGAGGCAGCAGUGGGGAAUAUUGCACAAUGGGCGGAAGCCUGAUGCAGCAACGCCGCGUGCGGGAUGACGGCCUUCGGGUUGUAAACCGCUUUCGCCUGUGACGAAGCGUGGGUGACGGUAAUGGGUAAAGAAGCACCGGCUAACUACGUG